CCUACGGGAGGCAGCAGUGGGGGAUAUUGGACAAUGGGGGGAACCCUGAUCCAGCGACGCCGCGUGAGUGAAGAAGUAUCUCGGUAUGGAAAGCUCUAGCAGCAGGGAAGAAGAAAUGACGGUACCUGAGUAAGAAGCCCCGGCUAACUACGUGCCAGCAGCCGCGGUAAUACGUAGGGGGCAAGCGUUAGCCGGAAUUACUGGGUGGAAAGGGAGCGUAGGCGGUGAUGUAAGUCUGGAGUGAAAGGCGGGGGCCCAACCCCCGGACUGCUCUGGAAACUAUGUGACUGGAGUGCAGGAGAGGUGAGCGGAAUUCCUAGUGUAGCGGUGAAAUGCGUAGAUAUUAGGAGGAACACUAGUGGCGAAGGCGGCUCACUGGACUGUAACUGACGUUGAGGCUCGAAAGCGUGGGGAGCAAACAGGAUUAGAUACCCGAGUAGUC
RNAcentral lists this ribosomal RNA (442 nucleotides) under uncultured bacterium. RNAcentral's name for it is "partial 16S ribosomal RNA". It matches the Rfam family "Bacterial small subunit ribosomal RNA", at positions 338 to 795 of the family's 1533-position model. The record is from RNAcentral.